CGCAGGGUUCAGGAAGCCACUUGCAGGGCUUCGAGGUGAAGGCGGCCUCCAGACAAGCUCCAGCCUUGGGCGAAAGCUUUUGGUGAGGCUCUUCAGGGGGAUGAGACUGCCAGUGGUGCCGCGCACAGACUGGUCUGAAUAAAGAAUUUCAUAUCUCUUUGUUUCAUUAUCAUUACAAGAAGACAUAAGUGAAAGAAUAUGAACUGUCAACUUUCCAUAAUCGCACCAACAGUGAGGAGUUAUUAUGAAAAAAGACUUUUUGGAUUCAGAAAAUUGGUUGACAUCACAUGCUGUCAGAGAAGUGGGAUCUAGAGAAGACCCCCAACACCAGUGAGGCUGGUGAGCAAGCAGGUGCUGGUACCCACAGAACUUAUUCAGUUCACUGCUUUCUUGCUGACUCUGGAUUUCAAAGGUAAGUCUCCACCGAUUUUGAGCUCUACUGUCUGCAUUUUGAGCUCACCAGAUUUAUUUGAGAUCUCUUUUUAUGAAGGCAUCACCUUUUCUAGUGAGUACUGUUCUUGUGUUGAAGCUUCUCAGUAAGUCAACAGUGGAGAAAAUAUAUGGUUCCUGGUGUUUUGGAACAUUUGGUGGAUAACAAGCCCCCUCAGUUAAAACAUCUUAGGAACCUAAAGGCUAAGAUGAGCCCCAUCUGGUCUGUGGACCAGGAGGAUUUUGUGUCUUUUUGGAAAAUGGGUGAACUUUUGGAAUUGUAGUGGAUACUUAAGGGAAACUUCAACCUAGAUAAGUCCACCCUUAAAGUAGGGGAUUCCAAACCUCUCAGAGACAUCAGAAUACAUUCUUUGAUUAGUGUGCAGAAGCUUCUAAAAGACAAAAUAACUUUUAGAAGCUUGUAAAAGGAUCCUUACAUCAUACUAAGUUAAGCCAAAUGAUGGAUAUUCAUUAAAUAUCUAAAUUAUUUCCAAAUAAGACAAACAUUAAAUCCUAAAAAUGUUUAGCUACUUUUGGCUUUUUAAUUUCUACAGUGAGAAAAAAAAAUUAGGUCUAUUAGUAAGUGUGUUUUGUACUACACACACACACACACACACAAUUACUACGAGGAAGAAGAGCUGAAAUUAGAAAAGGCCAUUCUGUUCUCCACAAUUCUCUGCCACUAUCAGGACUGGCAGAACAGGUGGGAAAGCAGGAUAAAUCAGAGAUGUUAGUGUGUUAUUUUACAAUGCUAGGAGGACACAAAAUGCCAUGGAUUAAGAUCCGGGCAAUUGUGACAAAGCUUGAUUAGGAUGCUAAAGGGUGGAAUCUCUGCAAAAGAGUUAAGAAUGAAGAGGAGGAUGUUAUGGUGAUUGCUGAGAAAAUGGGUUAAAGAGUUUAAGGUUUAAGGAAAGUACGAUGUGUGUUGUGGGUUAAAGAAGGUAUGAGGAAUGGAAAUGUGUUUUUGUUGAAGGAAUGUGUUUUGUUGUUUUAGUAGCCUCACUUAUAAAGUGAUAAUUAUUCUACCUAUGUAUAGGACUAUUAGAAUGAUUAAAUGCAAAGCACUUACUUAGAUCAUAAUGUAAUUACUACAUAAAUGCUUAUUAUUUUAUUGUUACUGUUAAAAAGAAAACCACAGGCACAAAAUGACAUAGCUUAGUUCAAGUCACCUAACUGUAGUUUCAACUCUCCAGUAAUGUAACCUUUAACCAGUCAACAUGGAACUUCCUGGUCAAUACAAGGAAAUUUACUGACAGACUCCUCCAUUCUCCUUAGGGCGAUCUUGUGUAAAUAAUGCAUUCUGUAUUACUAAACUCCCUUCCUUCCUUCCUUCCUUCCUUCCUUCCUUCCUUCCUUCCUUCCUUCCUUCCUUCCUUCCUUCCUUCCUUCUUUUCUUCUCUUUCUUUCAUGUUCUCUCUCUGCCUGUACAAACUUCCCUUUUGUUUAGCUCAUCAGGGCUGCUUGCUAGAUGGGAUGCUGAUCAUUUUUUAAUCCUUUAAUGAAGCCAAUUAGAUCUUUAGAUUUAUUUGAUUGAAUUUUGGUUUUUAACACCAUUGCCAUUAUUUUGUUGUUAUUAUUAUUAUUGAUGGAAAAGUUUUUAUUAUUACCUUUUCUGUUUGUUUGCUUGUUUGUUUUUUCUUUUAAUCUGGAUACCCUAAACAAGCCAGAUGAUCCACCUGCCAUUGCUUCAGCCUAGCUUUCUAGAGCAGCAACUGUCCCCAGGCCCUCAUGUUCCCCCCAGAUAUAUCACAACUGAAUCUUGCUAACUGGCUCAUGAUGAACCUGUGGACGGAAAGCUGUAGUACACCUUGGGCUCUGCAGUGUGCUCACCACCCAUUCACAAGUUCAAAGUGCUGGAGAGUUGCACCACCCUCUGUGGUGAACCUUUGACCAAUGGAAAAUGAAGAGUAUAAGAUUAGGAGUAAUAGUUCCCUUAUUUCUAUUACGAUACAGUGUAUACAGUUUCACAAGUGUACAGUCCCAGAAAUCUAGGAAUUAAUUGCCUUUACCAGAUACCAGCUUGAAAACACAUCUUCCAAAUGGCUCACUUUCCCUUUUAUUGGAUUCUUUGUAGAGGAUAUAUUCUUAUAUUUGUGGGAAAAGUGUGUACCCUCUUCUAUGAACUAUUCAUUUUCAUUCCUCAUUUUUCUAACAUGUAUUUUUUUUCUUAUUAAUGUAUGGGGCCUUUUUAAAUACUAUGGAUAUUAGUAUUUCUGCAUUUAUAUUUGGCAAUAUUUUAUGCCACAGGUUACUGCUUUUUACUUUUAUGUAUGAAGUCUCUUCUUGUCUUGCUAUUUUUGUUUAAUUUUAUGUAGUAAUAUAUGUUAAUAUUUUUCUUAAUAAUUUUGGAUUUUUAUGACUAGUUUUAAGUUAUAGCACAUGUUGAUUUUUUACUUGUUUAACUUCAACAAUAAUUAAGACAAUUACAUGAAUUUUCAUACUGACUUACUAAAAUAGUGAAUUAUAGUAAUCAUCUUUUUUUCCUGGAGCAAAACCCACUGUGUCAGGGUACAUGAUUCUUCAAGUUCUAAUUAUAUAUUCUUUUCUUCUUCAUUUAUAAUGAUUAUGUUCAUGUUAAUUAAACGUACAGGAUUUUUUAAUUGAAUGCUGGCUCUGUAAAUUCUGUAGAAAUUUUCAUUCUUUCUCAAGGCUUUUCAACAGUGUAAGUGGUUUCUGAAUUAUUUGUUUAUAGUAUGAAUGUAAUAAUUAAAUUGUGACAUUUUCAACAAAUUUUCUGCAUCAUAUUUUCAAAGGGCAGUUAGCUUUCUAAAAUAUAUCUGAUGCAGGCAAGCAGAGUCCAAGAACUCAGGGGAGGAUCCCACAGGACCAGCCAAGAGGGUCUUUGACUUCAUGCAGGAUAAAAAUCAAGCAAAAGCCAGAGAAAGUGAAAACAGAGUUCAUUGAAUAGUGUCAGUGAUGCAUAGAGAAUAGCAGAAAGAGUGUCUAGGAGACUCAGAAAGGAAAGGAAAAUGAGUCUCUUUAUUGCUUGAGGCUAGGGGUUUAUAUUAGAAAACAUCUAGGGUACUCAUUCCUCCAGAAAAUCAGGGUAGGGUCCAAUCAAAGGAGACUGUCAGGUGAACAAUAGGUGUUAAUCCUUAAAUUACCAAAAGUAGGGGUAUGGAUGUCAUUAUUAACCAAGUUUUGUUUGAAGCUAAUGUCUUGAAACAUAUUUGAGAUCUGGCUCUUAGGUGUUAUCAGGUGUUUGGGGCCUAGGACAAAAGUCAGAGAAUGAUUAACUUCCUUGCUUCCUUGUUGAUGUCAGAACAUAGCUUAUUUGGCUUAUUCAGAGGCAAAAUAUGGAACAUGAGGAAAUGGGGUCUAAGAGAAAACCAGCAGAGACAGAGCCUUUCUAAUGGAAUCCCUUCAGUUUCCUCUCUCAUAUCCCUUGUUUUCUCCAUGUUUAAUGGCUACUGUUUUUUUUUUCCUUUUGAUAAAUUAAUACUUUAAGAGUCAUGUAAUGAAAACCAGAACUAUUUGAAGGCAGUGGAAAAGAUUUGUUUUUAUAUUUCUUCAUUACUUCAGAUAAAGCCCUAACACCUAUGUGACACUUAAUAUAUAGCUAAUUAAUUUACAUAUGUGCAACUUGUAGAUUGCUUUGCCUUGCUUUUGAAGGUUAGCCUGCUACAUUUAAUUAUUUAUUUAAUGAAAUUUACUUUUAUCAAGUCAUAUAUGUGUAUAUUAACAAGUCAGAUACUAAGAAAGAACAUAGAUGUGAGUCUUCAUCUUUUUUUUUUCAUUCUUUGUGUUUAGCACUUGGUAUGCCCUUGCAGUUGCUAUACAGCUGCCCUUAUCUGUCUCAUCCUUCUGGUACUUCCAGUGGGCAAUGCUUAACUCCCUAGUGAACUCUGUAUGCCUUAUCUAUGUUCUUUCUUGUGUUUAUUUUCUAUGGUUAUGUUUUUAGCUGGUUUCUUGAUUUUAUUUUUCAUCUCAUGUUUUCAAUGUAAACAACAACAAAACCAGAAGUUAUAUUUCUUAUGGAAAAUCAAUUUCUUCAUUUUUGAAAAUUUUGGGGACUUGUCUCUAGUUCUAUGCAUUUAACAGCUUCUGAAAAUCAUUCUAAAGUAAUUCAUUCAAAUUGGGAAUUUCACAUUUUAAUAUUUUCUUCCUUUCUCUAAAUUAUUUAUGUCCUAGUGUUUGGGUGUGUAGGUAUAAGUAGGCAUGCAUGCAUGCAUGUGAGUGUGUGUGUGUGUGUGUGUGUGUGUGUGAGAGAGAGAGAGAGAGAGACAGAGACAGAGACAGAGACAGAGACAGACUGACUUGGUCAUUCUUUUUUUAUUAACAUGAGUCUCAUUCACCAGGUGAUUGCUCAUGAUCUCUGAUGGAUAUGCUCGCUGUCUGGAGCUCCUAUGGGUGUGUACAACGAUGCAUCAGCCUCAUUUGAGGUCCUAUUUUUUUUAAAUAUAAUUUAUUGUCAAAUUGGCUUCCAUACAACACCCAGUGCUCAUCUCAAGUGCCCUCCUCAAUGCCCAUCACCCAUUUUCCCCCUCCCUCACCCCCAU
Long non-coding RNA from Felis catus (domestic cat), 4928 nucleotides. RefSeq lists it as uncharacterized. NCBI's taxonomy places the organism in Eukaryota, Metazoa, Chordata, Mammalia, Carnivora, Felidae. The record is from RefSeq and is a predicted model, not a curated record. The transcript is spliced from 4 exons.